RNAcentral lists this unclassified non-coding RNA (296 nucleotides) under uncultured Agrocybe. RNAcentral describes it as "sequence contains ITS2". The stretch from base 1 to 52 matches the Rfam family "5.8S ribosomal RNA", at positions 103 to 154 of the family's 154-position model. The record is from RNAcentral. Lineage: Eukaryota; Fungi; Basidiomycota; Agaricomycetes; Agaricales; Bolbitiaceae.
AACGCACCUUGCGCUCCUUGGUAUUCCGAGGAGCAUGCCUGUUUGAGUGUCAUUAAAUUCUCAACCUUACCAGCUUGCUGAUAAUGGCUUGGAUGUGGGGGUCUUUUUGCUGGCUUCGGUCAGCUCCCCUUAAAUGUAUUAGCCGGUGCCCCGCGUGGACCGUCUAUUGGUGUGAUAAUUAUCUACGCCGUGGACGUCUGCUUUAAUGGGUUUGCGCUGCUUCUAACCGUCUGUUAACUCGGACAAUACAAUGACAAUUUGACCUCAAAUCAGGUAGGACUACCCGCUGAACUUAA